This 440-nucleotide ribosomal RNA is filed under the name uncultured bacterium. Its description in RNAcentral is "partial 16S ribosomal RNA". It matches the Rfam family "Bacterial small subunit ribosomal RNA", at positions 338 to 795 of the family's 1533-position model. The record is from RNAcentral.
CCUACGGGAGGCAGCAGUAGGGAAUAUUGCUCAAUGGGGGAAACCCUGAAGCAGCAACGCCGCGUGGAGGAUGAAGGUUUUCGGAUUGUAAACUCCUUUCGUUAGAGAAGAUAAUGACGGUAUCUAACGAAUAAGCACUGGCUAACUCCGUGCCAGCAGCCGCGGUAAUACGGAGGGUGCAAGCGUUACUCGGAAUCACUGGGCGUAAGGAGCGCGUAGGCGGGAUAGCAAGUCAGAUGUGAAAUCCUAUGGCUUAACCAUAGAACUGCAUUUGAAACUGCUAAUCUAGAGUAUGGGAGAGGUAGGUGGAAUUCUUGGUGUAGGGGUAAAAUCCGUAGAGAUCAAGAGGAAUACUCAUGGCGAAGGCGACCUGCUAGAACAUAACUGACGCUGAUGCGCGAAAGCGUGGGGAGCAAACAGGAUUAGAUACCCCAGUAGUC